ACCUAUUUUUUUCCCCAAAUUUUGGGGAAAUAAGGUUCCUGGAAGUAGAUACCUUAUUAAAGAAAUCUGUCAUGUGAAGUAAUGCUGUCUGAACUGUAUCACACAACAGCCACACAUUUGCUUCAUCAGUGCUGUACUGUAUUAAAAGGAUAAGUUUUGAUGGUGGAAUUUGACCCUUGUUUUUGUACCCUAU
Chelonoidis abingdonii (Abingdon island giant tortoise) is the source of this 193-nucleotide non-coding RNA. NCBI's taxonomy places the organism in Eukaryota, Metazoa, Chordata, Testudines, Testudinidae. The record is from RefSeq and is a predicted model, not a curated record.